UACGUAGGGCGCAAGCGUUGUCCGGAAUCAUUGGGCGUAAAGAGCUCGUAGGCGGCCUGUUGCGUCCGCUGUGAAAUCCCGGGGCUAAACCCCGGGCGUGCAGUGGAUACGGGCUGGCUGGAGGCAGGCAGGGGAGAACGGAAUUCCCGGUGUAGCGGUGAAAUGCGCAGAUAUCGGGAGGAACACCGGUGGCGAAGGCGACUUACUGGACACAUAUUGACGCUGAGGUGCGAAAGCGUGGGGAGCAAACAGG
This 253-nucleotide ribosomal RNA is filed under the name uncultured bacterium. Its description in RNAcentral is "partial 16S ribosomal RNA". It matches the Rfam family "Bacterial small subunit ribosomal RNA", at positions 524 to 776 of the family's 1533-position model. The record is from RNAcentral.